CAAGCAACUGUUGUUUAACAUCCUCUGAGUUACUGUUAGAGCGGAAAGUGUUUCACCCUCAUGACAGGAAUGCUUCAUCUGGCUUCCUCCCAAAUGCAGGAGAGAAAUAUUUAUGGCCUUUCCUUCCUGCCCACCUACCCCCAGGCGCACUGUUCCCAGUCUGUAUUGCACAUGCAGCCAUGCUGGGUCGUGCCCACAGCCUAUCCUGCUGCUGCCCUGGGCUGCAUCACCUCUGGGAGCCAUGAAGCUCAGAGUGGUGCCACCACUUCCCUGCAUCUCUCUGCAUCCAGUGAUCAGCACGAUGAACACCUGCUGCUUGUUUAUUCUCUUGUCCCAUCCCCAAGCAGAGAUGUACACACAGAUGUUUUCUGUUUAAACAAGCAAAACAUAACAUUUUGUUUGUUUUUUUAACCGGCAGAUCUUUUAAGUGGAUGUCAUUAAGCCUUUAUAGUGGAAGUGAAGUGUGUGAGGCAUGAGGGAAGAAGCAGCUGAAAAGAUAGGGGGACAGAGGAGUGAGGAGAACCUCUUCAGUUCUCCACACUCCAUGCCACAGCUUCACCUGCAGCUCACAGAAGAGAGACAAACACAUGGAAGCAGCAGAAGAAGAUGCAUUUUAACUGACCUCCGAAAAGCUCAGAGACUGCUUGGAAAUCAAAGGCACAAACACAGGGCUCUCAUGGGCAUCACAGCAGUAGAAACAGCAUAGAUCAUCAUCUUCAUCAUCAUCAUCAUCGUCAUCAUGGCACAGCCUGUUUUGCUCUGUCAGCAGAACAAUGCAUCAUGUUGUGACUUGAUUGCACACGGGGCUCUGCGGGAGCUCCCACCUGUGCAGCCCCCCGCAGCUGGGCAGGGAGCCGGGCUGCCCCGGGGCCGCGGCGGGAGGAGCCGGGCAGCCCUGGGCUGUGGAAGCCCCACUGCAGCUGCUGAGGAAGUAAUGACUCACAGAAUGGUGGAUGUGGGUGCAUCCACCAUUCCUCUGAAAUGUUGGUAUUCACUCACACAGGGAGUAAAACCAAUAGGAAAUUAUUGGAGUGUUCCAACCCACGUUUUGAGCACACAGCUCCCUCUCCCUUUGCCUCUGUCUUCUGUGCUCUCUGGUGUGUCUUGCUGGAGCUCAGGUGCAAGAUGCUUGUCUCCUCACACACAUUCAGGGAGGCCAUCAGCAACACUUUUUGGAGAGGUGAGUAUACACCUGUUAACUGGGAGAAACAGUGCAGCCCCUCACCAUGGGAGCUGCUCCACUGCGACUCUCCCCUUCCCCUGUGCCCCUUGGACCUGCUAGGCAGGUGCAGGACGCCAUGGCAGACCUGCCACAAGUUUCUUAUCCCUCAAUUUCCUUUUUCUCCCUACCCACUAUGGGUCUCAGGGCAUGUACUUGUGCUGCUGACUGUGCCAGUGGACAACCUCAGAAGCAGAGAAGAUGCCAGGCAGGUCAGAGAGGAGAGUAUUCCCUGCCAGCCUGCAGCCCAGACAGGCAGGCAAAGCCCAGCCCUGGCUGGAGCUAAACAUGGCCUCAUUUCAUGGCAAAACAAUUCCUCUUUGUGCAGCCUGUUCUCCCAGAACAAUCCUCUGCUCUGACAAUAUCCUUUCUAUGGCUUAGUCCCUGUGGAGUGACCAGCAGCGUGCUCAGCCUGACGCCUGGCAGCUCCCACCCUGCUGCCCCACGGCCAAGGUGCAGCACCUGCGACCCCUGCCCUGGAGGGGUCAGUCCCAGUCUCUGCUGAGACUCAGUGGCCACUUCAGGCCAAGGCAAAGUCUUCUCAGGAAAGUCCCCAGCACAGCCUAAAGCACUUUGGAGGGUUUUUUCUUCUACCUUUGCUCACUCCGUGGAGCUGCAUGGCACCGCUGUUCCACAAGUUAGGAGGACAGCCCUAGGACACAGUUGUGGAGCAUGACGUAUGGGUGUCGAGUCACCAAAUCUGAUUGUAAUCCCAACUGCCUGAGUGAAGAAGUCACCCAGCCUCACCAAAGCUGCUCCCUCAGGCUCCAGGCAGUCUGGGACUGGUUGCCAGAGAUGAUCAACUCCUGUGGGCUUUAAAUCACAGAGGAGCAUGUGCCCAUGAAAUGUCUUGCCCAUGUGCCCAACCUUGAAAGGUCCCUGAGAAGGGGCAGUUUUCAUGUCCCUACAAGAGACAGAGCUCCCAGAGCUCCCAUGGUCUUCUGCCAGUCACCCAUACUUGUACAGUAACCAAGGACUCCUGUUGAGCUGCAUGUCGUAAAGCCUUCCGACCUCCUGACCCUUUCCAGCCUGCUGCCAGUGCACUCUGGGCUUUGAGGUGGUCCUGCCAUGCCUGCUGCUCUGCAGAGACACUGAAGAAUGGCUUCUCCAGGCUUUUAGUGUCCUCAGACACCUUGCUGUGGCUAUGGCUCGGCUUCUUUUCCUCUCCCCACCCCAUGAUUUGAUGGAUUUGAAACAAGCACCAUUAUUCAAUAAGACUAUCCUCUAGGCCACAGGAACAAAUAAGGAUGCUUUAACAGGUCCAGGGUGGGCUGAGAUAUCUGGCAUGUCUAUGAAGGACCCCAGGGGGUCCUGUAUUGCUGGGGUGGUGUUGCCAGCCCAUGGAGGUGGGUGGCAGGGCUCACACUGGAGAGGCUGCUAUGCAGCUGACAAAGAAUUCUUGUCCCAGUAGGAAACAACAGUCAUGUGUGCUGCCCACCCCAGCUGGCAGGCAAAGUCCAGCAAUUAAACACACUAGGGUGAAAGUCUGCUGUCAAGGCUCCAGGGCACCACCACCGUGCCAGCAAGCUCCCAGGUGAUGCUUGCACUGCUCCUUCCAUCCAUCCAAAGGGAAUGCCUUUUUGCAGGUGAUGUUGAAAUGUAAAUCUAAGUGUCAUAUUACAACAGGGGUUUCAGCGGGAUCAUUUCAUGCCUGUUGGCUACAGAAAUGUUGUGGGUUGUUUGUUUGCUUGUAGCUUGAGGGGCUUAUAGGGACCUCAGAUUCCAGGAAUGCAAGCAUUUCUUUUGGCUUAAGGGAAGAGAGAAAGACUGAUGGCGUAUUUGGCCUUUACUGCCACUACAAUGUAAUCAGCAGAAAUAACAAAAAUUUUUCACAAGGUGAGUCAUUUAAUCUUGGUAUCAGCGAUGGAAGGAGGCAACACAUCAGCCUGAACACAUACCCAGGCAUGGCCUACCUGCCCACCUCUACUUAUUGAAAUCGCAGAGUGACAUGAUGGCAUUUAAUGGGCCUUCAGGUGCUGAGUAUUGUCAUCUGUCACCACUUUUAGUGGCCAUAAAAGCCUUUUUUAUUCUCUCAGUAUAGACAGAGGUGUUGUAGGAGCAUUUCUUGGAUGUGUUACAAUUGUGAGCAUAAUCAACUUAGCAUUUUUUUUCAUGGAGCCACAGAGAAAGUGUGCAGCAAUAAUUUGUGGUUGAUACUGCUUUAGAGCCCAACCUCAGGGAAAGGGAGAAGGGUAAAACAACAUUAGAGAACCAAUUUACAUUCAGUGUUUUUAUCUGAUCACAUGCAAAAUUUUUGGUUUUUCGGGAUUAAAUAGAAAAGGAUGGGAGGAUGUGUAAAUCAUCUUCUCACUCCUCAAGUGUAUUAAGGUGUGUAAAUUUACUAACUGUAUGUGUCAAAUACAUUACUGAAAAAUUACAGAGCCAAUUGUUUAUGUGUUUAAUUUCACAGAAUUCAUUUGAAGUUUUUAUUUUCUUUUAGAUUUUUUCAAGUUGAAUAAUGUUGU
Long non-coding RNA from Haemorhous mexicanus (house finch), 3684 nucleotides. RefSeq lists it as uncharacterized. The record is from RefSeq and is a predicted model, not a curated record. NCBI's taxonomy places the organism in Eukaryota, Metazoa, Chordata, Aves, Passeriformes, Fringillidae. The transcript is spliced from 4 exons.